Long non-coding RNA from Malaclemys terrapin pileata, 2577 nucleotides. RefSeq lists it as uncharacterized. The record is from RefSeq and is a predicted model, not a curated record. Lineage: Eukaryota; Metazoa; Chordata; Testudines; Emydidae. The transcript has 2 exons.
UAAGCUUCACCUCUUUUAAAGUGCACACAUAGGAUAUAUUCCCAAAGGGGGAAGAACACUGAAAGGUAUCUCAAAACAUAAGCAGAUUCACAAGUGUUUUGAGCUCUAAGAAGCAUGGCUGGAAACUGUUUUUUGUUUUGUCUGUGACUCAGUGCUUCGUGACAUGAACUGACUGCUCAUACCAAAGUUGUUUGCAAUAGCACUGGACUCAGGAUAUUAGAGAGACAAGUCCUGUUUGGGGUUUCUUACAUGAUCUCCAGACAAUGGAACAUUCCAGAGGCGAGGGGUGCCGAAGAGAGGAUGUCUGAGCAUGCGCAACGCUUCUGCAGUGCACCGUGCCCAGGAACAGGCGGGUAGCAGGGGUACUGCUGGGCAGGCAGAGCCCACUAAAAGCUCUAUAGCGCCCCGUGGAGCUGCCGGUUCGAAUCUAGCCCCAGCAGGGAGGGUGGUAGUGGCAGUGGUAGUGGCAGUGCGACUAAUGGGGCGAAGGGCUGCAGGGAUUCUCGUGAAUCCCUCCAAGACUGAGGGGCGGCUGCUGGUCGGGAGACAAGGUAUUUGUAUCGCCACGGCGCCCAGCCCAGGGUGAGCCUGCACGGAACCUGGGUUGCUACUGAGAGGUGUGUGUGUGCAAUGAAUUUGUCAGUGCACAAGCUGUCAUCGCCGCAGUCGGCAUUAAUCUGCACCAUCGUUGCUAUUCCCGGAGGAUGCCAGGAUUAAUCUAAUUAGUUUAAAGAUGGAGUUUGAUAGAUUUAUGAGCUGGAUUAUAGGGGGUCGCCUGCAAUAACAAGGAAGUGGGCUCAGUGACCCAGGUGAUCCCUUCUAGUCUUAUGUACCUAUGAUUAAAUGGGAAACAAGACACUGAACUACCCCUCUCAACCUGCAGAUGGUUGCCUCCUGACCGUAUUUUGCCCCACAUUGGCUGGGGAAGGUGACACCGUUGCUGUCCAUGCGUCAGAUCCCCUGGAGCAGUUAAUCCAGCAUUUAACAAAAGUAAUCAUAACAUUCAAAGCUUGAGCGAACAAUGUCAAGUGCUAAAUCAAAUUAGAGCAUUUAGAAUUGUUUAAAUUAAAAUAAUAACUUAAUAAAAAAAAGAGAGAUUUAUCCUAUAGGCUGAAAGCAUUGUCUCUAGCAGAUUUUUAUCAAACAUUUAAAUGCUUGAAUUAUUUUCUUUAAAGUCAUUAAGUACAGAAAUGUGUCAAGGUUUUAUUGCUAUGCUCUACUGAUUUUUUGAAAGAGAACAUUUAUUGUAAUUUAAAAGGACAACAUUGAAUAAUUUUAUAAUGGAUUUUAGUUUUAUAUUUAAACAUUUGUUGUUUGUGCCCAAUUCUGUAAUUUGUAGGCUAAACUUCCAUUGACUUCAAAGGCAGUUUUGGAUGGCAGGGAAUACAGGAUUGAUCUCUCAAUCCCUGAUCCUGAGCUCUUAUUCCAGGCACUCAAUUCUUAUAAGGAUCAGGCCUGAUCCUGCAAUAUUUAGGCAUAUGUUUAAUUUUACACACUCUGAAUAUUCUCGUUGAAGUCAGUGGGAAAAUCACGUGUAUGACUCUUUGCAAAAUUGGGCUGAGAUUUGCAACAUGCUUUUUGAAAGUUGAAGAUAUUUCCUGUUCUUAGGGGUCUAUCCACGUGGAUUCCUUUACAAUUGGUGCCUCUAUUAUUCUAUUCGCUCUUAAAAUUUGGCAACAUUGAUUUUUCUCUCUCUGUAAUGUCAGUGAAGCCGAAAUUAACAUGGUUGUAACUGUAUCAUGAACAACAAAGCAUUUUCAUUUCCUAGCAUAUGUAUUUUAUUAUGCAAGAACUAGGAGCUGUUUUAAGCCCUACCUACACUAAUCUUUAAACAGACAGUGGGAACCAUGUUUAAAGUAAUUUCAUAAACAUAUUUCCAUCUAAAUGGAAUACAUUUUAAAACAUGGUUCUAAUAUGGUUGGUUACCAUCCGUGCAGCCUAUCCAGUGUUUAGAAACUAACUCUGUUGAACCCCAGUGUGGGUGGGCCCAUAACAUGGGCCCCUAGGUACUAUGAUAAUACAAAUAUAAAUGAUAUUAUAUAACAAUAACAUAUUAGCAGCUUUCUUUCAGUCAAUUUAUCCCCCAUUCUCCUACCUGAGUAGUGCUUCCACAACUGCCAGGAUGAGAGAGAAUGUUGUUGAGGGUGCUCAUAAUAUUGUCGAAAGACCAAAACAAGACAACCUCCUUUUCAGAAGAGAAACCCUAGCAGUAUUAUUAUUAUUAUGGAUUUUGGGAAACAAACUGUAUUUUAUAAAAUAAUGUUUUGUUAUUAGCCUUUAAAAAAACCUUGGUUGUCCUAUCAAAUUUCUCAGUACCUCCUACAUCUGUGUGCUACACUGGUCCCUGAAACUACCGCAGAUCAAGACAUCUUCAUUUUCAAGUGCACUGGGAUUACCAAAGGAUGUCAGCACAACAUUCAAUAUAACUGGCCUGAUCCCGUUCUAGAUUUGCCAUUUACUACACUUGGAGAAAGAUUGGGCCCAAUGUUUGCAUGUUAACUGUUGGUUCUGGAAUAUAAACAAUUUCCCCCCAAAUAGAAUUAAAGCCAGUGCAGAUUGUGCAUUACAUUAUUAUUU